RNAcentral lists this long non-coding RNA (341 nucleotides) under Elaeis guineensis (African oil palm). Its description in RNAcentral is "long non-coding RNA (EGUI_LNC076990)". The record is from RNAcentral. Lineage: Eukaryota; Viridiplantae; Streptophyta; Magnoliopsida; Arecales; Arecaceae.
AGGACGGUAUGAGUACUGAUUGUUAGCAGCGCAUUACUAGAAAGUAAUAGGGUGUAGAUGAAUUGCACUUUUUGAGUUGCUGAACAAAGCAGAUAAGCAAGGGCAAUCAGUAAGUUCUCCAUAUGCAUGAAGCACAUCAGCUGCCAUCCUUGAAUUGCUUGGUAAAACAGACAUGGUAACAAAAUAAUUUUUUAGUAUCAAGCACAUUAAGCUUGAUUUUAUAACACUGCUUAUCCUGUAAGAUAUUUUCAAAUUAGUUAAUCAAAUGCCAGCAUGUCAUUUUAAGUUUAUGCACCGAUGUGUCAGUAUAAAUUACUUAUGAAUGGAACCUAAUUUAAAAU